This 421-nucleotide unclassified non-coding RNA is filed under the name Salinispora arenicola. Its description in RNAcentral is "partial 16S-23S ribosomal RNA intergenic spacer". Lineage: Bacteria; Bacillati; Actinomycetota; Actinomycetes; Micromonosporales; Micromonosporaceae. The record is from RNAcentral.
UAAGGAGCGCCAUCCGUCGAAGGGCGGUAUGGAGCCUCGUGUCACCUGUGUUGGGUGGUGGGGUGCUCAUUGGUCGGAGACACUGGCUAGUUGGCGUCGGCAGCGGUCGGAUGCUCUUGUACACGCUUCUCAUCGUGUGGUGGGGGGUGGGGGAAGGGGUUGAUGAUGCGGCUGGUGCUGGUGGUGGACACCCUGUUGGGUCCUGAAGGAAUGACCGUUGGUUGUUUCUCGGGCCGUGUGCUCUGCGGUGCCGUGUGGUGCGGUGGGGUGGCGGUUGCCUGGCGUGGCUGGCUUCGUAUACCGGAUGCUGCUGUUGUGCCCUCGUGGUGGGGGUGGGGUGGUGUUGCUGGUGCGGGGUGGUGGUUGCGGGUGGGUUGUUUGUUGAGAAUUACACAGUGGACGCGAGCAUCUUUGUGGUCAA